UAGCUCUUCUGGUUGAAUUGAACCCUUUACCAACAGGUAGUGCUCUUCUUUGUCUUUUUUGAUCUUUGUUAAUUUAAAGUCUGUUUUGUUAGGAACUAGGAUUGCAAGCUCUGUUUUUUUCUGCUUUCUGUUUGCUUGGUAAAUUUUCCUCCAUCCCUUUAUUUUUAGCCUAUGUGUUUCUUUGUGUGUGAGAUGGGUCUCUUGAAUACAGCAUACUGAUGGGUCUUGGUUCUUUAUCUAGCUUGCCAUUCUGUGUCUUUCAUUGGAAAACACAUUGAGAUUUAAGAAAGAUCAUCUUCAAGCUCUGAGAUUCUUUUCUUGGCCUAUUCUGCUGUUAAUAAUUGUGAUUUCAUUGUGAAGUUCACUCAGCUCUAACAGUGCUGGGAUUACAAGCGUGAGCUACCACACCCAGCGAGGAAGCCAAGUUUAACGUGUGUGCUCCACUCCUCCAACCUGGCCAAAGGGCAGUCAUCAUCACUGGCCACUGCUGACCACAGCCUUUAGAAACUCCCCUUGAACGUGCUGGGCUGACCUUCCUCUGAUCACAGGCAAGGCAAAGGAAAACGACAGGCCCUUGCCUUCCCGGUCCUCAAGGGUCAGCUGUAAGAUGAUGUCAUAAAGCCAGAUCAGGUCCUGGGGCCGGGGGAAGCACUUGCUGUCAUCCUCUGGCUGCUGCUGCAGCAGAGCCCUCUGCAGACCUUUGGCCAUGCUCUCAUUACGCUUGAUUGCCAUUGACAGCUUGAUGUUGUAGAUGAGCAUGAGAGUGUGGAGCAGA
Molecule: long non-coding RNA, 775 nt
Filed under: Homo sapiens (human)
Lineage: Eukaryota; Metazoa; Chordata; Mammalia; Primates; Hominidae
Description: family with sequence similarity 106 member A
Source: RNAcentral